Molecule: unclassified non-coding RNA, 303 nt
Filed under: uncultured fungus
Lineage: Eukaryota; Fungi
Description: partial contains small subunit ribosomal RNA, internal transcribed spacer 1, and 5.8S ribosomal RNA
Rfam family: Eukaryotic small subunit ribosomal RNA (bases 1-73)
Source: RNAcentral
GCAAACUUGGUCAUUUAGAGGAAGUAAAAGUCGUAACAAGGUUUCCGUAGGUGAACCUGCGGAAGGAUCAUUAUUGAAUGAAUGUAGAGUUGGUUGUCGCUGGCCCUUUCGGGGGCAUGUGCACGCCUUCUCUUUCAUCCACACACACCUGUGCACUUGUGAGACGGAGGACUUUAAUUAGUCUUCCGUCUACUUAAUUACACAAACUCAUUUAAUUUAAUUGAAUGUAAUUGAUGUAACGCAUCAUUAAAACUAAGUUUCAACAACGGAUCUCUUGGCUCUCGCAUCGAUGAAGAACGCAGC